Molecule: ribosomal RNA, 122 nt
Filed under: Schizosaccharomyces cryophilus
Lineage: Eukaryota; Fungi; Ascomycota; Schizosaccharomycetes; Schizosaccharomycetales; Schizosaccharomycetaceae
Source: RNAcentral
GUCUACGGCCAUACCUAGGCGAAAACACCAGUUCCCGUCCGAUCACUGCAGUUAAGCGUCUGAGGGCCUCGUUAGUACUAUGGUUGGAGACAACAUGGGAAUCCGGGGUGCUGUAGGCUCCA